This is a long non-coding RNA of Passer domesticus (house sparrow), 321 nucleotides long. RefSeq lists it as uncharacterized. The transcript has 3 exons. NCBI's taxonomy places the organism in Eukaryota, Metazoa, Chordata, Aves, Passeriformes, Passeridae. The record is from RefSeq and is a predicted model, not a curated record.
CACCAGUUACUGUCUCAUUCCAUCUUCUAAACUGGAAAACAGUUAAAUCCAGACUCAUUUUGUGGUGAUGCCUGGGAGGAGCCAGUUGGCAGCAGAGACAGCAUGCAUAAAGUGGGAGAGAGCAUCAGUGCCAGCAGAGAGGAUCACAGCUACUUGCUGAGAAAAGUGUAAGAAAUUCCCAAAACUGUGACUGGGCUUGCAGGAAGCGAUUACCCAAAGCAGGUGGGUGAGAUGAAGGAGAAGUAAAUAACAGCACAACAGGAGGGAAAGGAAAGCGAACUCCAAAACAUCUGAGAGAUUAAACCCAACCCCGCAGAGUCC